Molecule: ribosomal RNA, 253 nt
Filed under: uncultured bacterium
Lineage: Bacteria
Description: partial 16S ribosomal RNA
Rfam family: Bacterial small subunit ribosomal RNA
Source: RNAcentral
UACGGAGGGUGCAAGCGUUAAUCGGAAUUACUGGGCGUAAAGCGCACGCAGGCGGUCUGUCAAGUGGGAUGUGAAAUCCCCGGGCUUAACCUGGGAAUUGCAUUUGAGACUGGCAGUCUAGAGUCCUGUAGGGGGGGGUAGAAUUCCACGUGUAGCGGUGAAAUGCGUAGAGAUGUGGAGGAAUACCGAUGGCGAAGGCGGCCCCUUGGACAUAUACUGACGCUCAUGUGCGAAAGCGUGGGGAGCAAACAGG